AUGCACAUGAAUUCAAGGAUCUUGUUAAAAUGUAGAUUCUAAUUCAGUAGUUGUGGGGUAAACCCAAGAUUGUACAUUGCUAACAAGGUCCCAGGUAAUGCUGGU
RNAcentral lists this microRNA precursor (105 nucleotides) under Marmota monax (woodchuck). Lineage: Eukaryota; Metazoa; Chordata; Mammalia; Rodentia; Sciuridae. The record is from RNAcentral.